This 253-nucleotide ribosomal RNA is filed under the name uncultured bacterium. RNAcentral describes it as "partial 16S ribosomal RNA". It matches the Rfam family "Bacterial small subunit ribosomal RNA", at positions 524 to 776 of the family's 1533-position model. The record is from RNAcentral.
UACGGGGGGGGCAAGCGUUGUUCGGAAUUACUGGGCGUAAAGGGCUCGUAGGCGGCCAACUAAGUCAGACGUGAAAUCCCUCGGCUUAACCGGGGAACUGCAUCUGAUACUGGAUGGCUUGAGAUUGGGAGAGGGAUGCGGAAUUCCAGGUGUAGCGGUGAAAUGCGUGGAUAUCGAGAAGAACACUUAGGGCGUAGGCAAGACUCUGGACAAAUGCUGACGCUCAUGCACGAAGGCUAGGGUAGCGAACGGG